UGAGAGUUGCCAAGAAUAACAGGAAAUAAAUUUUCUUUUAAUAUGGAUUAUACAGACUCUAGCAUUAAAACAGUGUUCUCCUGGACAGGAGCACCUCUUCCUGUCCCUGCUGAAAGCAAGCAACAGAAAGGCUUCUAACCACUUCCCAGCCUGUAUGAAAGUUAAAUUUCUAUAUGCUGUACAGUAGCUAUGUUACCCAGUUAUGUAUCUAUAGUGAUGAAUAUUCACCUCUAAAUACAGAGAACAGACUCGACCUAGUCCAGUUUCCAAGAUCCAUCUCCAUCCUACCUUCCUCCACACAGGCAAUUUUCACAGGUGUCCCUGUGGCAUGGAAGCCAGUGGCUGCCAGUGGCUUGAAUGUCUUUGAGAUCAGGCUCUCAGUACCCUCCUCUCUACAGAAAUGUCUGCACAGGGUGUCUUCCCCUACUCAGAGAAUGUAACCAGCUUCUUGCUGCAUACAGCAGAAAUGCUGGUCCUGGCAAGAUGGUCCUACACUAAUUGCUUUGUUCUUCUUCUGAGACAUCUGCCUCUGUGCAGCAAACUGUCCCCAACACUGUGACCCUGGCUCUGUGCAACAGGGCAGUGCUUCUGCAAGACUGAAUGGUUCAGCAGAUGAUGUGAAGGGAGUGAAUGCCAAACCUAGCAAACUGACUUUCAGAUACUCAGGAACAGCACAGAGAUCCUAGAAACAAAGUCUUGCUGAUCCUCUGGUGCCCCACAGAAUCAUGCCACUAAGAGUCACAUGGAGUGAUUAACAUAAUUCAGACUGCUGUUCCCCAGUUACCCUACCCUGUCUCACAAUGUAAACUGCUCAUAUACGUGUAAAUGUUCUCCAUAUAUCUAGAAGUCCUUGAGCAGAGCAGACAUCCAGUGCUGCCACAGUGAAUUCUUCUGCCCAGGCUGGCCUGUAUAAGCACUUAUACCUGCAGAUAUGUUUACCUUCCCCAUCAGCACCUGGCUCUGUGCAGGUCAGCACAGAGAUUCUGCAGGAAAAUUCCAGGUCCCAGGUAAACAGCAAUCCCAGAUAAUGAUUCUGCUCCCACAUCCAAUUCAAAUCUGCGACUCCUUUCUGCUUUUGCAGGAGCUUCCAGGUCAGGAGGUAGGAACUCAACUGAAGAUUGAAAGCAGGCACAGCAACUGGAGAGUGUGGAGGUAGCCAGACCAAGACAAGACACCAAGACAAGAUAAUUCAUUGCAAGGUCUCAGUAAUGUCAGGUCACACAGGUUCUUCAUGGCUUUCUUUGGCUUAGGAGUGGAGGCACAUGUAAUUACUGCUCCCUGAAACUUGCCUGGAUUGGGCAUCAACAGAUGUCUUCAGUGGGAAGGGAGGGAAAAGAACAGGGGAGGGGAGGGGAGGGGAGAGGAGAGGAGAGGAGAGGAGAGGAGAGGAGAGGAGAGGAGAG
RNAcentral lists this long non-coding RNA (1403 nucleotides) under Lonchura striata (white-rumped munia). RNAcentral's name for it is "domestica (Bengalese finch) lncRNA (ENSLSDG00000000808.1)". The record is from RNAcentral. Lineage: Eukaryota; Metazoa; Chordata; Aves; Passeriformes; Estrildidae.